ACUUAAAUAGCUUAUACAAGAGCAUGAUAUUGAAGAUAUCAAGGAAACAAAAAUGUUUUUAAGUA
RNAcentral lists this transfer RNA (65 nucleotides) under Heterocerus fenestratus. RNAcentral's name for it is "tRNA-Phe". The record is from RNAcentral. Lineage: Eukaryota; Metazoa; Arthropoda; Insecta; Coleoptera; Heteroceridae.